This 234-nucleotide ribosomal RNA is filed under the name uncultured bacterium. RNAcentral's name for it is "partial 16S ribosomal RNA". It matches the Rfam family "Bacterial small subunit ribosomal RNA", at positions 15 to 232 of the family's 1533-position model. The record is from RNAcentral.
GAUCAUGGCUCAGGACGAACGCUGGCGGCGUGCCUAACACAUGCAAGUCGAACGGAGAAUUUUAUUUCGGUAGAAUUCUUAGUGGCGAACGGGUGAGUAACGCGUAGGCAACCUGCCCUUUAGACGGGGGCGAACAUUCCGAAGGAGUGCUAAUACCGGAUGUGAUCAUCGUGCCGCAUGGCAGGAUGAAGAAAGAUGGCCUCUACAAGUAAGCUAUCGCUAAAGGAUGGGCCU